This 477-nucleotide ribosomal RNA is filed under the name uncultured bacterium. Its description in RNAcentral is "partial 16S ribosomal RNA". It matches the Rfam family "Bacterial small subunit ribosomal RNA", at positions 29 to 507 of the family's 1533-position model. The record is from RNAcentral.
AUGAACGCUGGCGGCGUGCUUAACACAUGCAAGUCGAACGAGAAGUGGAGACGGAAACCUUCGGGCGGAAGACUUUAUUUCGAGUGGCGGACGGGUGAGUAACGCGUGGGUAACCUGCCUCAUACAGGGGGAUAACAGUUGGAAACGACUGUUAAUACCGCAUAAGACCACAGCACCGCAUGGUGCGGGGGUAAAAACUCCGGUGGUAUGAGAUGGACCCGCGUUCGAUUAGCCAGUUGGCGGGGUAACGGCCCACCAAAGCGACGAUCGAUAGCCGAUCUGAGAGGAUGACCGGCCACAUUGGGACUGAGACACGGCCCAAACUCCUACGGGAAGCAGCAGUGGGGAAUAUUGCACAAUGGGGGAAACCCUGAUGCAGCGACGCCGCGUGAGUGAAGAAGUAUUUCGGUAUGUAAAGCUCUAUCAGCAGGGAAGAAAAUGACGGUACCUGAGUAAGAAGCCCCGGCUAACUACGUG